Molecule: ribosomal RNA, 359 nt
Filed under: uncultured bacterium
Lineage: Bacteria
Description: bacterial SSU rRNA
Rfam family: Bacterial small subunit ribosomal RNA
Source: RNAcentral
CCGGCCUGAGAGGGCGAACGGUCACACUGGGACUGAGACACGGCCCAGACUCCUACGGGAGGCAGCAGUGGGGAAUAUUGGGCAAUGGGCGGAAGCCUGACCCAGCGACGCCGCGUGAGGGAUGAAGGCCUUCGGGUUGUAAACCUCUUUCAGCAGGGAAGAAGCGAAAGUGACGGUACCUGCAGAAGAAGCACCGGCUAACUAUGUGCCAGCAGCCGCGGUAAUACAUAGGGUGCAAGCGUUGUCCGGAAUUAUUGGGCGUAAAGAGCUCGUAGGUGGCUCGUCACGUCGAAUGUGAAACCCUGAGGCUCAACCUCAGGCCUGCAUCCGAUACGGGCGAACUGGAGUGUGGUAGGGGA